Molecule: long non-coding RNA, 2600 nt
Filed under: Sus scrofa (pig)
Lineage: Eukaryota; Metazoa; Chordata; Mammalia; Artiodactyla; Suidae
Description: lncRNA (ENSSSCG00035079269.1)
Source: RNAcentral
AAGUGUGCUUGUCCUGUUGAGUCGCCCUCUUAAUACUCUGCGCUGCCAGGAGAUGAACUUGCAACAACCAGCCAGCUGUUCCAAGAAUAAUGAGAGUCCUGUGGCUGUGGUCACCCAGCUGACUCACUGACCAGCUAAGCCCAGCCUUAAAUAGCUGCCCCUGGCUUACCUGAGAUGUAUGAAAAAAAAAAAUACUUGUUUUAUAUCACAGAAAUUUUGUGGGUUUUGUUACACAGAAAAAAAUUACUCAAAAAAAACCCCAAAAAACAAAAAAACCCAGAAAGUUUCUGGGUUUUUCCUGUGAUCCAUUCCUAACUCCUACCCAUCUCUUCAAUCUAUUAAUGUACUAAGUUACAUUAAUAGACUUUCUGUAAAACCAUCCUACAUUUCUUGGAAUAAAUACAACUCAGCUGCUUUAUAAAACAAAAAUUCAAAGCUAGAUCCAGUUUCAUAAUCUUUAAGGAAUUUUGUAUCUAUAUUCAUUAAGGAGGUGUUCCUAUAAUUUUUUUUCAUGUACUCUUUUUGAGAGGUUUUGGUUUUAGGAUAAUUCUAGCUUUUCAAAAUAAGCUGAAGUCUCCAUCUCCUCCCCUGACCCCCCAUUUUCUUGAACAGUUUGAGUAAAAUAGGAAUUGACUGGUUCUUGAGUAUUUGAUAAACCUUAACAGUAAAACCAUCUAGACCUGGUGUUUUCUUAGAUCAAAUAAAUAUGUGUAAGCUACAGUUAAGUGGAUUCAUAGCUGGUCAGCACAGCCUUACCCAAAAAGUAUUAAGAAAUGGAUCACCCUCAGUCUGCCCUGUCUGAUGGGCUUAAGAGGAGCAUGGAUGAAAAAAUAAAAGAUAAUUUAUCAUCUUUCAGGUAACAAAAAUUUGAUAAUCUCCAGUUGUGUCUUUAACGUAAAAAAAAAUAAAUUAUACUAAAACGAAUUUGCUUUAGUCUCUCAUGAGUAAAGGGCUGUGUAGAUGCCCAGAGGGAACUCUGCCUCCCAGAUUUGCAUUGAUGUUUCGGUAUCAUUGUUUUCAUCCCCUCACUGUUUGCCCGAGCCCUUCUGUUUCAAUAGGAUUUAGAGCUUUUCCCUGACCCCAGACUGGGGAAGAGGGGCCUGUGUGGGGGAUGUUUCAGCUGCUGCAGUCAAUCCCAUUGGCAGCGUCGGGGAGGACCCCAUGCUCUCAUGCUGUCUUUGGUCCUGUCCCUGCAGGUAACACAUGGAAAGAUCUGAGCACCAGAUGCCAUAGGAAUGUCCAGGGGAGAGUGGCCUGGAUAAUGAUGUUUCUCGGCCCUGAUACUUUAGACGUUUUGGGGCCAGAUAAUUCUUUGUUGUGGGAGCUCCAAAAAUGUCUUCAGGCAGUGCCAGAUGUACCCCCGGACACAGAUAGGCCCCCAGUUGAGAACAACCAGCCUAAAGACCAUGUUUUAGUAAGAGUAGUAAAGGCACUGGGUGGUUUAGGCCUGAGAAGAAGAGUUGUAGUGAAAACGUACCAGUUGGCUUUCACAACGAUUAAAAGGGCUGUUGCGAAUGGGGGAGCCGAAUCAUUUUGUGGGGCUCUGAAAGGCAGAACUAAGGCCAACAGUUGGAAAUGACAAGGUGGCCAAUGUGGAAUCUCUUUUUUUAAAAAGGAAUUUUUCAACAGGUCAGUUAUUCCAGGAAUAGCAAGUUGCUGGAAUAAUUUCAGUGCAGCGAGUUCCCUGACAUUAGCAGUAUUCAAGCUGAGGCUGACAAACCACUUGUCAGGAAUGCUGUGGAGGGGAUUCUGGACUGAAGAGAGGGCUUGGUUCGUGUAGAUGAUGACCUAGUCUCUUCCAACUGGAGAACUUUACGGUUUAAAUAGAGCACAUGGGGCUGAGAAAAUGGAAGACUUUGGGGCAUCGGUCCAGACGUGUUGCUUGAGGCAUUGGUGCCUCUGCCCAGACCCCCUCAGAUCUCACUAUUGCUGUGUACACGGAUGGCUUGUUUCUGCAGCCCCCCGGGGGCUUCCUCUGGCUGCAGGAGAGUAUUCACUAGUGCAAGAGGCAGACUAGCAGUGGGAUGGGGGAUUCUUCCCCCCCAGUGCUCAGAUCGCCUUCUACCAAUGGUGGAUGGGAGUUGGUGCCUAAAUGCCCCAGCUCCCUCACUUCUCCUCAGGAUCGUGCUGAGGUGUGUUCCCCAGGGGUCUUCAAGGAGGAAUGAGCCGCAGUUGCUCAUAGCAGAACCUGCUCAGUAAAGCAUCCUGUGUCACCUCUCCUCCCUUUCCUGUCUCACCUCCUUGCUCCCCCAUCAGUGCUCCCAAUAAGCCUCUUCCAUCAGGUUGUUGUCUCAGAAUUUUCUUCCAGGAGAAUCUAGGGUUAAGAUCUAAGCCAGGUCUGUAGAACUGGCUGCAGAAAGGGAAGUAAAUAGGAGGACUGGUCAGUAUUUCACAUUCACAAGACCCCCCAGUCUUGAUGUUUGAGGCAGUUUGAUCCCUGGCCUCGCUCAAUAGGUCCAGGAUCCAGCAUUGCUGUGAGCCGUGGUGUAGGUCACAGACGUGGCUCAGAUCUGGCAUUGCUGUGGCUGUGGUGUAGGCUGGCAACUGCAGCUCCAAUUUGAUCCCCAGCCUAGGAACUUCCAUAUGCUGCACAUGUGGCC